CAGCAGCCGCGGUAAUACGUAGGGUGCAAGCGUUGUCCGGAUUUACUGGGCGUAAAGAGCGCGUAGGCGGUCUGUUAAGUGUAGAGUGAAAGCUCCGGGCUCAACUCGGAAAUUGCUCUGCAUACUGGCAGACUUGAGGAUGGAAGAGGUUUGUGGAAUUCCUGGUGUAGCGGUGAAAUGCGUAGAUACCAGGAGGAACACCUAUGGCGAAGGCAGCUCGCUGGAACGUUACUGACGCUGAGACGCGAAAGCGUGGGGAGCAAACAGGAUUAGAUACCCCAGUAGUCCCUGUCUCUUAUAA
This 301-nucleotide ribosomal RNA is filed under the name uncultured bacterium. RNAcentral's name for it is "partial 16S ribosomal RNA". It matches the Rfam family "Bacterial small subunit ribosomal RNA", at positions 509 to 809 of the family's 1533-position model. The record is from RNAcentral.